CCUCGCCUUGAGGGAUUGGCCGCCGCUCGGCCACGCCCCCAGCGUGACUCCGCCAAUAGGAUGCUUUCCUCUCGCUCUGCCACGCCCACGCGAGUUUGGCCACGCCCACGGGUGCGGUCCGGCUCGAUGUUAACCCGUUGCGUGCCGGUUUGAAUUGAGAGCACGCCCAGAUUGGGAAGGCGGGGUUAUGUAAAUGAGGUGGGAGGUGAUUGGUGGGGAGGACCGCUCGGCCACGCCCCCAGCGUGACUCCGCCAAUAGGAUGCUUUCCUCUCGCUCUGCCACGCCCACGCGAGUUUGGCCACGCCCACGGGUGCGGUCCGGCUCGAUGUUAACCCGUUGCGUGCCGGUUUGAAUUGAGAGCACGCCCAGAUUGGGAAGGCGGGGUUAUGUAAAUGAGGUGGGAGGUGAUUGGUGGGGAGGAGAGGGGCGGAGCCUUAAGGGGGAUGUUAAGUGGGCAAUGGGGUCAGCGGGGAGGAAUGGGGUCAGUGGGGAGCAAUGGGGUCAGUGGGGUCAAUGGGGUCAAUGGGGUCAACGGGGAUCAAUGGGGUCAACGGGGAUCAAUGGGGUCAACGGGGUCUAAGAGGGUCAACGGGGUCUAAGAGGGUCAACGGGGACUGUGAGGGUCAAUGGGGUCAAUGGGGAUCAAAUGGGGUCAAUGGGGGCAACGGGGAACAAUGGGGUCAAUGGGAACAAUGGGGUCAACAGGGGACAAUGGGGUCAAUAUGGUCAAUGGGGUCAAUGGGGUCAAUAGGGUCUAUGAGGGUCAAUGGGGUCAAUGAGGUCUAUAAGGGCCAAUGGGGUCAAUGGGGAACAAUGGGGUCAAUGAGGUCUAUGAGGGUCAAUGGGGUCAACAGGGAACAAUGGGGUCUAUGAGGGUCAAUGGGGUCAAUGGGAGUCAAUGGGAUCAAUGGGGAACAAUGGGAUCAGUGGGGGACAAUGGGGUCAGUGGGAACAAUGGGGUCAACUGAAGACAAUGGGGUCAAAUAGGGGGGCAGUAGGGG
This 1002-nucleotide long non-coding RNA is filed under the name Chrysolophus pictus (golden pheasant). Its description in RNAcentral is "lncRNA (ENSCPIG00010001662.1)". Lineage: Eukaryota; Metazoa; Chordata; Aves; Galliformes; Phasianidae. The record is from RNAcentral.